This 380-nucleotide unclassified non-coding RNA is filed under the name uncultured Gemmatimonadaceae bacterium. Its description in RNAcentral is "contains 16S-23S intergenic spacer region". The record is from RNAcentral. Lineage: Bacteria; Pseudomonadati; Gemmatimonadota; Gemmatimonadia; Gemmatimonadales; Gemmatimonadaceae.
UCCGGUUUAGCACCGGCAGUCCUCCCAGAGUCCCCGCCAUAACGCGCUGGCAACUGGGAGCGGGGGUUGCGCUCGUUGCGGGACUUAACCCAACAUCUCACGACACGAGCUGACGACAGCCAUGCAGCACCUGUGCACGGGCUCCGAAGAGGGGCCGUGGUUUCUCACAGCUUUCCCGUGUAUGUCAAGCCUAGGUAAGGUUCUUCGCGUUGCGUCGAAUUAAACCACAUGCUCCACCGCUUGUGCGGGCCCCCGUCAAUUCCUUUGAGUUUCAGCCUUGCGGCCGUACUCCCCAGGCGGGGCACUUAAUGCGUUAGCGUCGGCACUCAGAGGGUCGCUCCCCCAAGCACCUAGUGCCCAUCGUUUACGGCGUGGACUAC